GUAGGUGAACCUGCGGAAGGAUCAUUAAGAUAAUUUCGGUAAAACAAAAAGGCAAGGGCCAGCCCCACAAAGAAGCGGCGUGAGAGGGGGAAUCGCGAGAUAGAUCCAAUUCUCUCGGCUUCAAAAGAUGUCCCCGGGAGGGGAAACUCUCUUACAAAUAUCUCUUGCAGCCGCCGACGUGUGAUCAGGUUGGCCUCCUUAUACUUUUACAUUUCGAAUAUCUAAAAAAAACACCCCCCACCGUGCACUU
RNAcentral lists this unclassified non-coding RNA (250 nucleotides) under plant metagenome. RNAcentral describes it as "partial contains small subunit ribosomal RNA, internal transcribed spacer 1, and 5.8S ribosomal RNA". The record is from RNAcentral.